Molecule: ribosomal RNA, 253 nt
Filed under: uncultured bacterium
Lineage: Bacteria
Description: partial 16S ribosomal RNA
Rfam family: Bacterial small subunit ribosomal RNA
Source: RNAcentral
UACGUAGGGGGCUAGCGUUGUCCGGAAUCAUUGGGCGUAAAGCGCGUGUAGGCGGUCCGGUAAGUCCGCUGUGAAAGUCGGGGGCUCAACCCUCGAAAGCCGGUGGAAACUGUCGGGCUAGAGUGCGGAAGAGGCGAGUGGAAUUCCUGGUGUAGCGGUGAAAUGCGCAGAUAUCAGGAGGAACACCAAUUGCGAAGGCAGCUCGCUGGGACGUUACUGACGCUGAGACGCGAAAGCGUGGGGAGCGAACAGG